This 72-nucleotide non-coding RNA is filed under the name unclassified sequences. RNAcentral's name for it is "70-dG-II sequence". It matches the Rfam family "2dG-II purine riboswitch aptamer". From Rfam's summary of the family: Purine riboswitch variant that recognize 2'-deoxyguanosine The record is from Rfam by way of RNAcentral.
GAACCCUGUAAUCGCCGGAAUUGGCCGGCGGGCAUCCACCGUUAGACCUCAAAUCCAACGUCACCAGGGGAA